This 24-nucleotide non-coding RNA is filed under the name Arabidopsis thaliana (thale cress). The record is from RNAcentral. Lineage: Eukaryota; Viridiplantae; Streptophyta; Magnoliopsida; Brassicales; Brassicaceae.
CCAUUUGAUCGCCUUGUUUGGUAC